UCCCCCCCCCCCACGGUGUAACCCUCCACAGGUGCCAUUGAAGACAAAGGUAAUGUAUUUCGUUCUCUCAUUCUCUCUAUCCCUCCUCCUCUCCUGUCCCCUUCUUCUCAUUUUCCUUUUUCAAUUUUUUUAGGAGAGGCGGUCGGGCAGCAAUGGUGUGUAGCAGCAGCGACAACGAUGGACUCCGACGACAUUGUCUUCCUCUAUACUCAGCGGCAGUGUUGUAGUGGUCCAAUUGCAAGGUUAGUAUAAUUUUUAUUAAAAUUAUUAAUUUAUUCAAGUACUUAGAAAUUUAUGCUAGAAAAUAGAUUGAUUUUUAAUUUUGUAAAAUUUUGUGUGUUUGAAGAGUCUCCUCAUGAAUGACUUGAUACUGAGCCUUAGGAUCCCAUGUGUAUUUUUGAGUGGAGUAGUUUUCUUGUAACGAUCAUUCAUAAUCUUUUGAACAAAUUUGUCAUGUGGAGUUUCACUUGAGAAUAGAAAUUGCUUUGAUAUUUCAAUAGUAUUGUUGGGCAAACAAACAUGAUUUCUUGCAUUUUGAAUUGGGAGGCCAGUGAUAUUGCUUUGAUAUUUAGUUUUCCUUUUACCUCUCUUCCUCUUAGUAAAAAAUAUUCAUAAAAGAUAGUAAUGAAAAAGAAUAUAUAGUUUGUGAAAUUUGAUGAAGCACGAUCUAGUGAAUCGCAAUCACUUUAAUAAAAGAGAUUUUUGAGAAUAUGAUAAGAGGAUAGGUAAUACUAAGCUAAUAUUUCUACUUUUAUACCUAUGCAAAUAGAAGCCUUUGAAAUUAAAUUAUUUAAAAUUAGAUUUUUAAAAAUUAACUUAUUGUGUAAUGUUAUUUAACCUUUCAAAAUAAGAACCUUUAAAUAAAAUAAUAUUUAACAUUUUGUGUAGAUGGAAUCAUCCGAAUCGUACGGGGUUGCGGGAUGAAUUUAUAGAAGGGUUUUCUAGCUUUAUUGCUAAGGCAAAGACACUUGAUGAUUUCCUUAUCGAAGGGACGAUUAGGUGCCCCUGUGUGAAAUGCAAGUGUCUUAUGUUACUGGUGCCCGAUAUUGUCGUUGUUCAUUUGCAUAAGAAGGGGUUUAUGGAAAAUUAUUAUGUGUGGACUGUGCAUAGGGAGGGUCAUGCUAGUGUAGAUGAUGUUCAUUUUUAGAACUCAUUUGGUGGUGAAGAAGGUAGUCCCAUAGGGAAGAAAAUUAAUGUUGAAAAUUCUAGAUUUAAUGAAAUGAUGGGGGAUGCUUUUGAGAUGUUCCCUAGGGCUCAAUCCGAACCAAAUAAUGAGGCUAAGAGCUUCUUCAAACAGUCAUAAGAAGCUAGUUGUCCGCUUUAUGAAGGCGCAGUGCAUCCCAAGUUGUCUGUUGUAGUUAGAUUACUAAGUAUUAAAUCGGAUAAUUCUAUUUCUCAAGCGAGCAUGGAUUCUAUUAUUGGCCUUAUGAAUGAACUAAAUCCGACCAAGAUUGACUUGCGCAAAGAUUUUUACACGGUAAAGAAAUUGGUUUUCAAGUUAGGUCUUUCAUCGGAGAGGAUUGAUCGUUGUGAAAAAGGUUACAUGUUAUUUUAUAAGGAUGAUGCAGCUUUAGAAAAUUACAAAUUUUGUAACCAGACGCGUUACAAAGAAGUCACAAAUGCAAAACAGAAGAAGGUUCUAGUGAAGGCGAUGCACGACUUAUCCUUUAUACCAAGGUUAAAGAGGUUUUACGCAUCAAUGAGUUUCGCUCCUCAUAUGAGAUGGCAUUAUGAACAUAGAAGGUCAGAUGGUGUGCUAUGUCAUCCAUCAGAUGGAGAAGCAUGGAAGCAUUUUGAUAGGGUGUUCCCAGACUUUGCAGUGAACCGAGAAAUUGGGCUGGGAUUAUGUGCUGAUAGAUUCACUCCAUUUGUAGUGUCUGCUGCACCAUAUUCAUGUUGGCCAGUAUUUGUUACGCCGUAUAAUCUACCGCCUGAAUUGUGUAUGACAAGUCAAUAUUUGUUUCUAACUUGUAUUGUUCCAGAUCCACGCAAUCCAAAACAAUUGAUUGAUAUAUACAUGCAACCCCUAUUUGAUGAGUUGAAGUUAUUGUGGCAUGAAGGUGUGGAAACAUAUGAUGUAUCAACUAAGCAAAACUUCAGAUUCAGUGUUGCUUUAAUGUGGACUAUAAAUAAUUUUUCUGCUUAUGGAAUAACGUCCGGGUAGUCAACUGCCGGAAAGUUAGCUUGCCCGACUUGUUUGGAAGACACAAAGGCAUUCACUUUGAAACAUGGAGGUAAGAACACAUGGUUUGAUUGUCAUCACCGCUUUUUGCCAAUGGAUCAUGAGUUUAGGAGAAAUACUAGUGCAUCUAUGAAGAACAAAACUGAUUAUGAGGAGCCACUACAUGUCCUGUCACUUGAAGAGAUUUGGAAUAGAGUUAGGGAUCUACCCAAGGUAACAGAGUAUCCAUUGCCUAAUAAGAUAUCAGGGUAUGGUGUAACACACAACUGGACAAAACAUAGCAUUUUUUAGGAGUUACCUUAUUUGAAGCACAAUCUUCUUCGGCAUAAUCUUGAUUUCAUGCAUACCGAGAAGAACUUUAUUGAUAACUUGUUUAAUACUGUGAUGGAUGUAAGCAACAAGACAAAAGAUAACUUGAAGGCAAGGAUGAAUUUAAAAGAAUAUUGUAGGCGGGCUGAGUUAUACUUGACAUACAUGAACAACAAGAUUCAGAAGCCUAAGGCCACUUACACGUUCACUUUGGAUGAAAGAAGAGAGAUUUGUGAUUGGGUUAAUAAUUUAAGGAUGCCUGAUAAGUAUGCAUCAAACUUAUCUAGGUGUGUUGACAUGAAAUAAGGGAAGUUGACGUCUAUGAAAAGUCACAACUGUCAUAUUUUCAUAGAAUCUUUGAUGCCUAUUGCAUUCAAUGCUUUGCCUGAUAGAAUAUGGAAGACCAUCAUAGAGAUAUGCUUAUUUUUCAAGGAGUUGUGCUCUAGCACAUUGAGGAGGAGAACCUAGCUUACAUUGACAGAAACAUUCGCUUAACUUUAAACAAGUUGGCGAAAAGUUUCCCGCUUGAUUUUUUCGAUGUGAUGGAACAUCUUUUAAUUCACCUUGCGCAAGAGGCAUGGCAAUGAGGGCUAGUUCAAUGUAGAUGGAUGUAUCCCUUCGAGGUAUAAUUAUCUAUAAUCAUAAAUCCUUAUAUGUUUUAUUUUAAUAUUAUUUCAUCUCAAAAUCGUGUUAUGCAGGAUGAUUGGCAAAUGUAAGAGGACCGUGAAUAAUAGAUCAAGGGUUGAAUGAUCGAUAUGUGAGGCAUAUCUGGCUAGAGAAACAUCUUAUUUCUGUUCAUAUUAUUUUGAACAUGAUGAUCCAUGCUUAAUAAAUAGAUCUGAUCGGCAUGAUAAUGGUGGCAAUAUCGAUCCAUUAGCACCACCCUUGUAACUACCCGACUAGUCGUUUUAAAAAAUUGAGUCCGGAUCGGUCGUUUGAGGUCAUGAGUAGCUUCACCUAGUGUAUUAUGACUUGCGUGGAUCAUCGGCUCAGGCUUUUGAGUGGUUUGGAAAUGAUUUUAAGUGGUAACUCUCAUUUGAGAAGCUCGAAGUUGAAGGAAUUGACCGAAUUUGACUUUUAGAUAUUUGACCUCGGAUCGAAGAUUUGAUAGUUCGGGUAGGUCUAGAUUGUGAUUUUGGACUUGGGCGUAUAACCGUAUUUGCAUUUGGAUGUUUUUAGAGGGUUUCAACGUCAUUUAGCAAAAGUUGGCAAUUUAACGGUUUAGAAUUUUCCUAAGUUUGACCAUAGUUGACUUUAAAGCUAUCAGGUUCGGAUUUUUAUUUCGGGACUUGGAAUAGUUCUGUUUCUUCAUAUGGAACUUUCCUGCAAAAUUCAAUGUCAUUUGGAGUUCAUUUGUUAUGGUUCGAAUGCUUGGUUGCUUCUAGAAGUUCAUUAAGAUUCGCAUGCGUUUUGGCAUCCGAUUUGUGCUUCUAGAGGUUAUUUUGGGAUUUCGAUUGCACGAACGAGUUCACGUUAGGUUUUUAGACUGGUGUGGGUGUUUGGAUCCUCGGGGGCUGGGGCGAGUUUCAGAUUGGUUUCAGAUUGAUUUUGUUAAAUUGUUGAGUAUUGGUACUGAUUCCAUCGCAUUUGCGAUGUUUUGUUCGUAAAUGCAACUACCACAUUUUUGAGGUAGUCCUCGCAUUUGCGAACCUGGGCUGCUGGGGGAGGGAUCGAAUUUGCGAAGAAAUGAUCGCUUUUGCGAAGCCUGUAGAGUUCGCUUUUGCGAACUCUGUAUCGCAUUUAUCAUGAAGUCCUAGGCUAGGUAGGGUCACUUUUGCGACAAACUGGUCGGUUUUGCGAAGACCCGUGUCCGUAUUUGUGACAUUUUCUGUCUCAUUUUUGAAGGCGUCAGAAUUGUUCAAGCUUCGCUUUUUCGAGUUCGCAUUUGCGAACCCAGUGUCACAAAUGCGACAUCUGCAGCUUGCUUAUAACUGAGUAUUCCAGAACUUAGCUUCAUUUUAUCAUGUUUUGAACCCUAACCUCGAUGGGAGACGAUUUUGUGGAUGGAGUUUCAUACCAAACCAUUGGAUAAGUGCCUCUAAUCAGUUUUCAAUUAUAUUUUAUAAUUAUACAUUAGAUUUAACAUCAAAUUCAUGAGAACCUAAGCGAAAAAUUUGGGGAUUUUGUCAAAGUUUUGAAAAAUAAAAAUUUGAGAUUUGUGAUUCUAAUUGUACUCGAAUUUGGAAACAAAACACGUAUAUGGCCUCGAGGGUCUAUGAGUAGUCAAGACCUACCCUUGGACCCGGAGUUUGACCGGACGAGACUGGGGCUGACUUUUUGUUGACUUUGUUUAGAAGUUGUAUAAAGAUCAUAGAUUUGUUUAUUGAAAUUAUUUUCUCUUGCAUUAUUUGAUGUAUUUAAGUCGUCUUUGUCUAGAUUGAGCCUAGCGGAGGUGAAUUUAUAAAGAAAAAAGCUAAUUUGAGUAUUGAUUUGGUCGAAUUGA
RNAcentral lists this long non-coding RNA (4934 nucleotides) under Nicotiana tabacum (common tobacco). Its description in RNAcentral is "long non-coding RNA (NTAB_LNC007889)". Lineage: Eukaryota; Viridiplantae; Streptophyta; Magnoliopsida; Solanales; Solanaceae. The record is from RNAcentral.